This 72-nucleotide transfer RNA is filed under the name Camelus bactrianus (Bactrian camel). It matches the Rfam family "tRNA". Rfam says of the family: Transfer RNA (tRNA) molecules are approximately 80 nucleotides in length. Lineage: Eukaryota; Metazoa; Chordata; Mammalia; Artiodactyla; Camelidae. The record is from Rfam by way of RNAcentral. RNAcentral also lists the same sequence under 1 other name.
GAGGGUAAAGCUCAGUGGUAGAGCAUGUGCUUGGCACGCACAAGGUCCUAGGUUCAAUCCCCAGUGCCUCCA